This 786-nucleotide ribosomal RNA is filed under the name uncultured bacterium. Its description in RNAcentral is "bacterial SSU rRNA". It matches the Rfam family "Bacterial small subunit ribosomal RNA", at positions 20 to 788 of the family's 1533-position model. The record is from RNAcentral.
UGGCUCAGGAUGAACGCUGGCGGCGUGCCUAACACAUGCAAGUCGAACGAGAUGCGUAUUGGAAAGCUUCGGCCGGAAGAUGCGUUAUCUAGUGGCGGACGGGUGAGUAACGCGUAUGCAACUUGCCUCACAGAGGGGGAUAACCCGUCGAAAGACGGACUAAUACCGCGUACACUCCAUCUUGGGCAUCCAAGGUAGAGGAAAUGAAAUUCGCUGUGAGAUAGGCAUGCGUCCCAUUAGCUAGUUGGUGAGGUAACGGCUCACCAAGGCAACGAUGGGUAGGGGAACUGAGAGGUUGAACCCCCACACUGGUACUGAGACACGGACCAGACUCCUACGGGAGGCAGCAGUGAGGAAUAUUGGUCAAUGGGCGAGAGCCUGAACCAGCCAAGUCGCGUGAAGGAUGACUGUCUUAUGGAUUGUAAACUUCUUUUAUACGGGAAUAACAAGAGCCACGUGUGGCUCCCUGCAUGUACCGUAUGAAUAAGCAUCGGCUAACUCCGUGCCAGCAGCCGCGGUAAUACGGAGGAUGCGAGCGUUAUCCGGAUUUAUUGGGUUUAAAGGGUGCGUAGGCGGCCUGUUAAGUCAGCGGUGAAAUCUAGGAGCUUAACUCCUAAAUUGCCAUUGAUACUGGCGGGCUUGAGUGUAGAUGAGGUAGGCGGAAUGCGUGGUGUAGCGGUGGAAUGCAUAGAUAUCACGCAGAACUCCGAUUGCGAAGGCAGCUUACUAAAGUACAACUGACGCUGAAGCACGAAAGCGUGGGUAUCAAACAGGAUUAGAUACCCU